GAUGAACGCUGGCGGCGUGCCUAAUACAUGCAAGUCGAGCGAACAGACGAGGAGCUUGCUCCUCUGACGUUAGCGGCGGACGGGUGAGUAACACGUGGAUAACCUACCUAUAAGACUGGGAUAACUUCGGGAAACCGGAGCUAAUACCGGAUAAUAUAUUGAACCGCAUGGUUCAAUAGUGAAAGACGGUUUUGCUGUCACUUAUAGAUGGAUCCGCGCCGCAUUAGCUAGUUGGUAAGGUAACGGCUUACCAAGGCAACGAGGCGUAGCCGACCUGAGAGGGUGAUCGGCCACACUGGAACUGAGACACGGUCCAGACUCCUACGGGAGGCAGCAGUAGGGAAUCUUCCGCAAUGGGCGAAAGCUUGACGGAGCAACGCCGCGUGAGUGAUGAAGGUCUUCGGAUCGUAAAACUCUGUUAUUAGGGAAGAACAAAUGUGUAAGUAACUAUGCACGUCUUGACGGUACCUAAUCAGAAAGCCACGGCUAACUACGUG
Molecule: ribosomal RNA, 497 nt
Filed under: uncultured bacterium
Lineage: Bacteria
Description: partial 16S ribosomal RNA
Rfam family: Bacterial small subunit ribosomal RNA
Source: RNAcentral